RNAcentral lists this transfer RNA (74 nucleotides) under Desulfotomaculum sp. Its description in RNAcentral is "tRNA-Gln". It matches the Rfam family "tRNA". From Rfam's summary of the family: Transfer RNA (tRNA) molecules are approximately 80 nucleotides in length. Their secondary structure includes four short double-helical elements and three loops (D, anti-codon, and T loops). Further hydrogen bonds mediate the characteristic L-shaped molecular structure. tRNAs have two regions of fundamental functional importance: the anti-codon, which is responsible for specific mRNA codon recognition, and the 3' end, to which the tRNAs corresponding amino acid is attached (by aminoacyl-tRNA synthetases). tRNAs cope with the degeneracy of the genetic code in two manners: having more than one tRNA (with a specific anti-codon) for a particular amino acid; and 'wobble' base-pairing, i.e. permitting non-standard base-pairing at the 3rd anti-codon position. Lineage: Bacteria; Bacillati; Bacillota; Clostridia; Eubacteriales; Desulfotomaculaceae. The record is from RNAcentral. RNAcentral also lists the same sequence under 3 other names.
UGGGGCGUCGCCAAGCGGUAAGGCACCGGACUCUGACUCCGGCAUCGUUGGUUCGAAUCCAGCCGCCCCAGCCA